Paramuricea clavata is the source of this 2153-nucleotide non-coding RNA. The record is from the annotation of a GenBank genome assembly. Lineage: Eukaryota; Metazoa; Cnidaria; Anthozoa; Malacalcyonacea; Plexauridae.
CGGUUCCCGGGUAACUUUUGCCCUUAUUGUAGCUUAGUUUGUGAAAAGUUCACCAAUGUUUUAUGUGGAUUUUUUGUAGUUAACAAACAAAUCAACGACAAGGAACGAGUUGCAGCUGCAAUGGAGAAUCCUAAUCUGAAAAAAAUUGUUGAAGAUUGUCUCAAAGAGCCAGAGUAAUUAUAAUAUAUACAGUGAACAUGAAUUUUACGACAUACAGUAUGACAUUGCCACAAAUUUAAAAACUGUACAUACACUGAGCGUAACAUUGUCGAACCUUUUGCAAAGGAGCUGACAUUCAACUGCUAAGUUCAAGGGAUUCAGAAACAAAUUAUUUCGUUUAAUUUGCAGUGUUUGGGAGAAAAAAGGCCGCCUUAGCUUCAUGCAAAUAGCCCAUAGUGAUUAUUCAGAUCUUGUGAUAUCAUACAGAUAAUAUUCAGUGGCGUAGCCAGCCCGACAAUUUAGUCCCGCUAUGCAAAUUCAAAAUUAUUAUCAUUAUUCAUUUCUUUAGAAAUUGAUUGUUUUCACAGUCAAUGGACAUGAAAAUAUUUGCAUAUAGCGGGACCAAAUAGUCGGGCUGGCUACGCUACUGAUAAUAUUUUACAGUUCUCUACUAUAUUCAGUUGUAAGCGAGUUUGGGAAAUGGCAACGUCAAUGAAGACGUGAUCAUCAACAGUAGAAUUUUACUCUGAGAGAAAGUGCGAUUAUAAAUUGUAUUCCCUAGAUCAUUCUAGUACGUCGUAUAGUUGUUCAAACUGCUACGUUAUUUGCACAUUUUCACGGUUCAUAACCACGCCAACAUUUAAAUGGUUCGGAGUCGUGUGAGGGUGUUUUAUGUGAAUGCAAUGAUUAUUGCUACUCAAGGGUUGUUUAAAAGAAAAUUAAGUACUUUCAUGAUGCAAAUAAAGUUUGAUAAUAGAGAGCUUAAGAUGUACAACGCGGCCGGCUCAACGACGCGCUUGCGAAAGAAAGAAAUUUGUCAUGCAAGACAAAAACUGUGAAUAAUUCGUUGUCCCAGGGGUAUUUUCAACAGCUUUGUCAUGCUCAGCACAACGUUAAACUAAGCAUUAUCAAGUCUUUCAUGCAACGUGAAAGCUUAUUGCGACCCAAGAGGUGUUACUUAAAGUCGAAAUUACAGCAAACAUUGCAUCGCUUUAGUCGAACUUAGCAGUUUGUAAUGUCAUUCGAAAAAUCUUCAAACAUUUAUUACAGUAAUAAAAUUGCUUAGCGCUCAUUCUUGAGCUGAAAUUCAGACCGCGUUGUUGAGCCGGCGCGUCGUAGAUCUUAAGCUCUAUAAUGUAUGCUUUGGCUGGAACAAAAAAAAAUGUGAGUCCAUUUAAAAAUGUGAAAUAGUAAUGGGCCUUAUGCAGGUUUCCGUCCAAUUUCCAGGAAUUUCAGUUACAAUACUGCAUGGACGUUUUAUAUGUUGUUUAUAUCAUUAUUAUGAGUGUUCACCAAACAUUUUGAAGCAAUAUGAGUUACAGCAUCUUGGAAAAUAAAAGUGCUGACGUCAGCAUUAUUUUCGAACGCCUUCAGAUACUGUGUUAUAACAAAAUUUGAUUUAAAAUUAUUGGUUAAGGUUAAGAAGGAAAACUUCUUACCUGAUAUAAACAAGAAUCUAAACAUUUUGGCCCAAACUCGCCUUUAUUUUAUAGCAUUUGAUUUUGGGAUAAAUGCUUGGUGGUAUAAAAUGGCUAAUUUUAUAGGGCCUACCACCAAACGCAACAUAUAAAACUAGGGACAUAUUUCAGUUGAGUUCCCUUCAAAUAAGGCUGAUCAGCCACUAAAAUGCAUGUCGUACAUGUCUAUAUACAUUUUUAUAGGAUGUAAAAUUAAAGUAAUUAAAAUUCCUGUGUUUCAUGCGAACUAAUUUGAGAAAGCUGUUGUGCAUGUAUUAAAGCAAGUCGGGCAAAAAUUGAAAAGUUGAAAGAUAAACACGAAACUCUCGAGAAAACUGGCAAGAAACACACAAAAUAGUUUCAGUGAUAAAUAUAGUUUCAGUGAAAAAGUAUAUGCUUUUUUCAUGAACAUGCUAGGAAACAAGCAUAUAAAUGAAAAGUUUAGGCCUGGGGUUUUGCCUUCGGCAAAAUCAGUUUCUUCGGACAACGACGGGUUCGUGUUCAGUUGCUUUGCCGAUCAAAAACACAUAUAAACUA